Molecule: ribosomal RNA, 531 nt
Filed under: uncultured bacterium
Lineage: Bacteria
Description: bacterial SSU rRNA
Rfam family: Bacterial small subunit ribosomal RNA
Source: RNAcentral
AGUCAAUAGAUACCCCGGUAGUCCACGCCGUAAACGAUGAGUACUAGGUGUAGGAGGUAUCGACUCCUUCUGUGCCGCAGUUAAACACAAUAAGUACUCCGCCUGGGAAGUACGGUCGCAAGAUUAAAAACUCAAAGGAAUUGACGGGGGCCCGCACAAGCAGCGGAGCAUGUGGUUUAAUUCGAAGCAACGCGAAGAACCUUACCUAGACUUGACAUCUCCUGAAUAGCGCAGAGAUGCGUGAAGCCCUUCGGGGCAGGAAGACAGGUGGUGCAUGGUUGUCGUCAGCUCGUGUCGUGAGAUGUUGGGUUAAGUCCCGCAACGAGCGCAACCCCUAUUAUUAGUUGCUACCAUUAAGUUGAGCACUCUAAUGAGACUGCCCGGGUUAACCGGGAGGAAGGCGGGGAUGACGUCAAAUCAUCAUGCCCCUUAUGUCUAGGGCUACACACGUGCUACAAUGGUGAGAACAACGAGAUGCAAUACCGCGAGGUGGAGCAAAACUUGAAAACUCAUCUCAGUUCGGAUUGUAGG